GCUGGGCGUAGUGGCUCACGUCUGUAAUCCCAGCACUUUGGGAGGCCGAGAUGGGUGGAUCACCUGAGGUCAGGAGUUCGAGACCAGCCUGACCAACAUGGUGAAACCCCAUCUCUA
This is an unclassified non-coding RNA of Macaca fascicularis (crab-eating macaque), 117 nucleotides long. It matches the Rfam family "Metazoan signal recognition particle RNA". Rfam says of the family: The signal recognition particle (SRP) is a universally conserved ribonucleoprotein. It is involved in the co-translational targeting of proteins to membranes. Lineage: Eukaryota; Metazoa; Chordata; Mammalia; Primates; Cercopithecidae. The record is from Ensembl.